UACGGGGGGGGCAAGCGUUGUUCGGAAUUACUGGGCGUAAAGGGCUCGUAGGCGGCCAACUAAGUCAGACGUGAAAUCCCCAGGCUCAACCUGGGAACUGCGUCUGAUACUGGAUGGCUUGAAUUCGGGAGAGGGAUGCAGAAUUCCAGGUGUAGCGGUGAAAUGCGUAGAUAUCUGGAGGAAUACCGGUGGCGAAGGCGGCAUCCUGGACCGGUAUUGACGCUGAGGCGCGAAAGCUAGGGGAGCAAACGGG
This 253-nucleotide ribosomal RNA is filed under the name uncultured bacterium. RNAcentral describes it as "partial 16S ribosomal RNA". It matches the Rfam family "Bacterial small subunit ribosomal RNA", at positions 524 to 776 of the family's 1533-position model. The record is from RNAcentral.